AAUACUUGUAAUUAGAUAAAUAUAAAUACACCGAUACAAAGUAAUGGUAUUUUGAUAGGGGAAUACCAUAUGUUCCACCCAUAAAAAUUAGUUUUGAGUUGAUAACAACUAGAUUUAUUAUAUUCUCGAUAUUGUACAACUAUGAGCAAAAAUGUGCAACCGAGUACAACUGUACAACUAUGGGCAAUAUAUUUUUCAGAUAUUUAUAGAUAUUUUUUAGAUAUUUGUAGAUAUUUUAUAAUAAAAAUUAGCUUUAUUUUUUUGUGAUAAAAAUAUUUAGUUUAUUUUUUGUCAUCAAAAUA
RNAcentral lists this small RNA (302 nucleotides) under Arabidopsis thaliana (thale cress). RNAcentral's name for it is "ATSL119260". Lineage: Eukaryota; Viridiplantae; Streptophyta; Magnoliopsida; Brassicales; Brassicaceae. The record is from RNAcentral.